UCAACUCUUUAGUUCAGCCUCCAUUGAAGAGGUAGUGGAUAGAUAAAAUUCUCUAGAUAAAGGAAGCAAUGUUGGCAUAUAUUCUGGCACAACCUUCUGAUCUCAUCACGGGCCAGUAAAAUAGAGUUAUCAGAUGGCCAUUUGAGCAGCACUACUGAGGAUUUUCAUUUCCAGCCUAGAUGGAACAGCUUGAAUGAGACCAAAUCCUCAUCUCAGAACUCCUCUAAAACUGAAUAAAAUAUGUAGCUUUGCAUACAUCAGAUUUUAUAGCCAAGGCAGUGAGUACUUGAAGGAGCAAGAUCCCUAAGAAGGAAGAAACACAAUAAAAUGCUUAAAGACAGCAACAGACAGUGGGAAGGCUCUAGCACUGGGGCGUCAUUAUCCAGGAAUAGAUUUCCUGGUUCUUCGGUGGCCAUAUGGCAUCUAUAAUAGAGAGGUUCAAGAGCUGCCAGGUACAAAAUGACUGAUGUGAAUCCUUACAAACAAGAAGAGAAGACAAGAAUAGCAUGGUGAAAAGAAAUCUAGCAAACCCAUAGAGAUACAGUUCUGCAAACCUGAGAAAAAGAUAGGCACUUAGGGACAGGUCUUGUCAGUGAAUUGGUUUUACAUUGCCUGGCACAUAAUAGCUAUUUCAAUAAAAACUGUACUA
Long non-coding RNA from Talpa occidentalis (Iberian mole), 649 nucleotides. RefSeq lists it as uncharacterized. The transcript is spliced from 4 exons. Lineage: Eukaryota; Metazoa; Chordata; Mammalia; Eulipotyphla; Talpidae. The record is from RefSeq and is a predicted model, not a curated record.